Molecule: small nuclear RNA, 342 nt
Filed under: Capra hircus (goat)
Lineage: Eukaryota; Metazoa; Chordata; Mammalia; Artiodactyla; Bovidae
Description: 7SK RNA (ENSCHIG00000002637.1)
Rfam family: 7SK RNA
About the family: 7SK was discovered as an abundant small nuclear RNA in the mid-70s but a possible function has only recently been suggested. Two independent studies have found that 7SK RNA binds the CDK9/cyclin T complex (known as elongation factor P-TEFb).
Source: Rfam by way of RNAcentral
AGAUGUGAGGCAGAUCUGACUGCGACAUCUGUCAUGCCAUUGAUUAUCAGGGUUAUUUGGCUGAUUUGACUGGUGAGGAAGGUGUUCCCUUCCUUCCUCCCAGCUCUAUGUGUGUCCUUCCUCCCAGCUCUAUGUGUGUCCUUCCUGUAGCUGCCUGCUUGCUCAAAGAAGAUGACAUUCCUUGAUAAAGGAAAAGACUGUUCUUUGGUCAAAGAUAAACAAGUAGCUGCCCUCCCGUGCAAGAAUUUCCAAACAAGUUCUCAAGGCAUUCUUAGUAUUCUUAACAGUGUUCUACUCAAUGGCAAAAACAAACAAACAAACAAAAACCCAAAACGUUGCUUU